AUAAGGCAAGCAUCUCUGCUAAUUCAUACUGGAAUAAUCUUAAUUACUUAAAGGAAAACCCUUAUACGAUUGGCAGCAAAGAGGAUCAACGGACAGAAACUGUAAGAUAAACCUAAAAGAGAUGUGUGCAGAUCUUUAAAACAAAAGAUACAUCCCUUGGAUUUUGUUAGCUCCCUGAACUUACCAUAGGAAUCUCUUAUGUAAUGGAGCUAGCAUU
RNAcentral lists this long non-coding RNA (217 nucleotides) under Nicotiana benthamiana. RNAcentral's name for it is "long non-coding RNA (NBEN_LNC000651)". The record is from RNAcentral. Lineage: Eukaryota; Viridiplantae; Streptophyta; Magnoliopsida; Solanales; Solanaceae.